AGAGUUUGAUCUGGCUCAGAACGAACGGGUGCGGCAGGCCUAACACAUGCAAGUCGAACGAUCCUUCGGGAUAGUGGCAGACGGGGGAGCAACGCGUGGGAACGUACCCUUCACUGCGGAACAACGUCGGGAAACUGACGCUAAUACCGCAUAAUGUCUCCGGACCAAAGAUUUAUCGGUGUAGGAUGGGCCCGCGUCGGAUUAGCUAGUUGGUAGGGUAAUGGCCUACCAAGGCAACGAUCCGUAGCUGGUCUUAGAGGAUGAUCAGCCACACUGGGACUUAGACACGGCCCAGACUCCUACGGGAGGCAGCAGUGGGGAAUAUUGGACAAUGGGCGAAAGCCUGAUCCAGCCAUGCCGCGUGAGUGACGACGGCCUUAGGGUUGUAAAGCUCUUUCAGAUGCGAAGAUAAUGACGGUAACAUCAGAAGAAGCUCCGGCUAAAUUCGAGCCAGCAGCCGCGGUAAUACGAAUGGAGCAAGCGUUGUUCGGAAUCACUGGGCGUAAAGCGUACGUAGGCUGAUUUUCAAGUCAGAAGUGAAAGCCCAGGGCUCAACCCUGGAACUGCUUUUGAAACUGGAAGUCUAGAGUCCCGGAGAGGUUAGGGGAAUUCCGAGUGUAGCAGGGAAAUGCGCAGAUAUUCGGAGGAACACGCGUGGCGUAGGCGCCUAACUGGACGGGAACUGACGCUGAGGUACGAAAGCGUGGGGAGCAAACAGGAUUAGAUACCCUGGUAGUCCACGCCGUAAACGAUGGAUACCUUGUUGGAAUCCAUAGGGUUUCAGUGACGCAGCUAACGCGAUAAGCAUACCGCCUGGGGAGUACGAUCGCAAGAUUAAAACUCAAAGGAAUUGACGGGGACCCGCACAAGCGGUGGAGCAUGUUGUUUAAUUCGAAGCAACGCGAAGAACCUUACCUACACUUGACAUACUCGUCGGGAUUUCCAGAGAUGGAUUUCUUCGGUUCGGCCGGACGAGAUACAGGUGCUGCAUGGCUGUCGUCAGCUCGUGUCGUGAGAUGUUAGGUUAAGUCCUGCAACGAGCGCAACCCUUAUCGUAUGUUGCCAUCAUUAAGUUGGGAACUCAUGCGAGACUGCCGGUGUUAAGCCGGAGGAAGGUGGGGACGACGUCAAGUCAUCAUGGCCCUUACGUGUAGGGCUACAACCGUGCUACCAUGGCUACUUACAGUGGGCAGCAAACCGGCGACGGUGAGCGAAUCCCCAAAAGUAGUCUCAGUUCGGAUUGUUCUCUGCAACUCGAGAACAUGAAGUCGGAAUCGCUAGUAAUCGUGGAUCAGCAUGCCACGGUGAAUACGUUCCCGGGUCUUCUACACACCGCCCGUCACAUCAUGGGAGUUGGUUUUACCCGAAGGCCGUGUGCUAACUACGGAGGCAGCGGACCACGGUAGGGUCAGCGACUGGGGUGAAGUCGUAACAAGGUAACCGUAA
RNAcentral lists this ribosomal RNA (1446 nucleotides) under uncultured prokaryote. Its description in RNAcentral is "partial 16S ribosomal RNA". It matches the Rfam family "Bacterial small subunit ribosomal RNA". The record is from RNAcentral.